CAGUGCCAUGUCUGCACCCAGGAUCUGAACCGGCGAACCCCGGGCCGCCGAGAAGGAGAACGUGCGCACUUAACCACUGCGCCACCGGGUGGGCCCCCAGAUUUUUAAUCUCAUAGCUCUGUAGGUCAGAAGUCUGUUGUGGAUCUCAAUGGGCUGAAAUCAGGGUGUCACCAGGGCUCUGUUCCUUUCUGGAGCCUCUAAGGGAGAAUUGUUUCCCUGCCUUUCCCAGCUCCCAGAGGCCCCCCAUAUUCCUUUCCAUAUGGCCUCAUUCCUCUGUCUUCACAGCCUGCAAUGCUGGGUCUAGUCCUUCUCAUCCUGUCAUCUCUCUGUUUCUUGUUCCAUUGUCACAUCUCUUCAAGACCGCAGCCUGGAAAAGACUCCACUUUAACCCACAUGAUUAGAUUGGGCCCAGGAUAAUCUCCCCAUCUCAGAGUCCAUACCCUGCAAAGUCCCUUUCGCCAUGUAAAGUAACAUAUUCACUGAUUCUGGGGCUUAGCAUGUGGGUGUCUUUGGGGGGAGGGGGUCCUUAUUUGUCUACCCCGUUACAGAGGAGAAGAAACUGAGUCUCAGAGAAGUGAAGUAACCUGCUCCAGGUCAUAUAGUAUGUGACAGAGUUGAGACUGCAGCCCAGGUCCAUCUGUCUCCAAAGCCGGGUGUUUCCUACUAUCCACGAGAUUUCAAGCUAUAAAACAGCACGCUGCUGGAUGGGGUUGGGCUUCGGGUCUGGUGGGGUGCGAGCUGGAAGAGAAACCUGAAGGCAAAUUCUCCCCACAGAGGUGAGGCAGAGAAUCAGGGCACUGAAUCCGAGGGAAAUGCUUCUUUGAAAGAAGAAACGGAUUUGCAUUGGAAAGAAAUAAAUUCAUUCUUCUAAGGGAGAUGUUGGUUUAAGGGUGAAGAAUCAAGUCUGUGACUUAGAUGAAGCACCAUCUUCUUUCCCGGGGCCUCAGGGACCCUGGAGAUCCCAUACCCUAUGUUGUCCUGUGCCCACUUGGCAAGAGAUUUACCAAGCCAGUUCCUUCUAAGUCAUGGGGACUCAAUGCCUACCCCUCCCAAGAGUUUUACACCUAAUAGUAGGAUGCCAUAACCCAAAGGCAUACACAGAACCUCUGGAUUUCUUAGUUUUUUGAAUUGAUAAGAUGACCAGGGCGAUAUUGGUUGGCAUUUGUUAUUGUGGGCUAAAUUUGUUUGCGGUAAUGGAAGACUUUCUAUCCCUAUGACGCCUGAGUCAGGAGAUAUUCUUGGUCCUGGGAGCCCUCCAGGUAACAAGUUGGUUACCACCUAUUCUGUACACCUCAGGAGAAUAAUAUAUGGGCAAUAGAAAAAUGGAAAAGAUUGGUAUAAAAUUCAAAAGAAAACACGAAGAAAGGUGGUUUCGGUUUGAUGGGAGUCUUUGCCAGAGAUGAGGCCAGAGGCUGCCCUAAUAGCUGAUGUUCAACCCCUUUUCCCUUUUUAUAAGAAAAAAGAGGAUCAAAACCAACCUUCCUGAAUUUCAUUCUCUGGUGCUAAUAGGACAGAACAGCAAUGACACACCACAAAAAAUAAGGAUACGAUUUACAAGUGAACCAGAUGGUUCCCAUCUCAUCUCAUUGAGUUGUUAUCUUUUGAAGAGUUCAUUUUCGUGGAUUACAAAGAGAAUGUAAUCACUUUAGAAAUCCUCCGAGAGUUUCAUAAUGAACUCUACUUACAUUGUGUUGACACUAAUAGUAACUAUAACCAUGAUCUUCAAAUCCCCAUGUAGGAGGCAGGGUUAUUGAAAUUAUAGCACGGGCCAGUAAUUCAUUUAAAAACAUACUUUAAAAAAUGAGCUUUAUGCUAACCAAAAGCCCACUGAAACCAGUUUCACUUACAAAUAGGAGCUGCUAUAUUAAUAAGAAAAUCAAUAUAGUUUAACUUAUGAAAAGUAACAUUUUGCUAAGUUUUUUUGCCCAGGUUAGGCUCAUAUCAAAUUAAGAAACUAAGUAAACCAAACAUUUAUAUGAGUGACUCAUACUGUGAAAAAAAUGUGAUCACAGCUUCAUAUCACAAAACUAUUAAGUUCUGCUCAAGUAAUUUCCUCUCAGCAUUUCCUUUCCUCACUUAAGGUUUCCUUCUUAACCAAAAAGCAUCAAAUUAGGAAGCUUAAAUGACUGAAGUAUUAACACUCUCAGGAAAAAAAUGAUUGCCUUUCAGAACGGAGGAAAGAAAUGCUCACCAAUCUACCUUCCCAAGGUAAAUAGUUACAAAGUAACAGGAACAGAGGGUUUUUUUUUGUUGUUCUAUUUUUUCUAAUAGUUUGAUUUUCGAUGAAGUUUCCUUUAAUCCUUUAAAAUCAUUUCCAGCAGUGAGCAAUUCAGCAAGUUCAGAGAACAAGAUGGCCAGACCUUCAGUCCUUGAAGAUUGGAAUUAGAUUAGUGGGAUUGUAUUGAAGUAAUUUUUGCUAUUUCAGGUGUAAUAAAUUAUAACUCAUAUAUGGUUCAAUUAGCAUUCUUGUGAAUACAUCUAACAUUUCUCUCUAUGCAAUUUUUGUUUAAUUUGGUAUGCCUAGUUCAUUUUCUCUAUAUUUCUGUUUGAAUAAAAAUAAAUUUUGAAAUUUUACCUAUUGUUUCAAUUUUUAUAUUUAUUGAUCCACACACAGUCUCCCCUCCCCCCUUAGCAGUAUUUGUUAAGUAGGGUUGAUACAUGUUAAGGUGCCAAAUGUGUAAUGUUCCAUUGCCAGGUAUAAAAAAAUCUUUUCCAUGGAGUUUGGACCUCGGUCUCAAAGUUCUUCUGAACACAUUUCCCUGGGCAGUUGUUACCAGUUAAUUCAAGUAGGCAUUUGAGUCAAAACCUUCAUCAUUAGCGUUUAGGUCAUAAAAUAGAACAUUUAUUAGAUAAUUUCAGCAGAAAGGGAUGUAAUACAGGGAGUUAGAUGCUUACCAAAUUGCUGGAAGAUCAGAGGAGCAGACUCGAGGCAUGACUUUCAGGAAUGGCCUCUAGAACACUGCAGAACUGAGCCUCCAGUUACGCUGCUGCAGUUAGGAAUGGAAGGAAUCAGGAAGCUGCAAACGAAAUUCUACAGUCCCAGAACACACUGCCGUAGCUGCAAGCCAGGGAUCAGAAAGCUGGGCUCUGAAGCCACCACCACCACCUUUGCCUUUCAACACCCAGGACACUCUUGAUUGGACAGGGAACACAGAAUAUGGCUGCUGCUACUGCUGAUGCUCAUAUGAGUGACUUAAUUGUGGAAACCUAAUUUGCAUCCAGAAUCCUGGUUUCAAGGAAGCCUGAGAGGUGUUGUUUUCAGCCCAGGAAGGCAUAUGAAGUCAGAACCUAUACUAAAGUUAUAUCCUUGGUGAAACCUUCUUGGUCUCUCUGUCCUUAUUGGAUCCUCUCUGCAGGGAGAUGCAGAACUUGUGUGCAGAAUAACAGGAAGAUGUAGGGAACUGGGUUUUUAAAAGAAGAUAUGCCAAGACUAUAUAGGGGAUUUGACUCCCAAGUUCCACUUAGAGGACACAGGAAAUGAUAUUUCCAGCUUCUUAUAUUUAAUUUCUCUUUUUGGCAAUUCAUCUUAGGAACUUAAUUUAGUUCUUGAGCAACUUGAUGCUGCCAAAUGACUUAGCUCUUUGCAUCUGAUGAUCCUGCCUUUCCCUCUCACAAGAAAGGAGGGCACCGCCUGUCUUUAUUUCUUACCUGAAUUAAUAGGGACUAGCUCCGUAUAUUUCCUGUGGCAGUUUACCCUGCUAAUAUUCAGUUAUUGCCACUCCAUAUAGAGUGAAAGUAAAAUGGAUAUGAAUAUGUUAUCCAAAUAUUAUAUAUCUAGGCAUAAAAUGCACUCGUAAUUUGAAGUUCACAGCCACAUCCCUACCCUCCUGCGAAAAAAAUUGAUUCAGUGGGAAACCAAAGAGUACAAGCACAACAUUGAAGGUAUUUUGACUUCUAUAAUCCAUCCAUUAUGGCUGUGUGGGUAAGUUACUUAACUUUUCCUAAGUACCCCAAGCUUUAUGUACUAAUAUCUUUCAUCUGUAGGGUACCCCACAGAUUCUCAAGGUUUCCCUAUAAGCAUGUGUGGUGGGAUCAGCAUGAUUAAAUGACAUGGUUCAGUCAUGGAGCAGAGUGGAACUCAAACCCUUGACUUUGAACUCUCAAUAAAAUUGUUUUUUACUACACCAAGAAAGAUCAAAACUAUUCUUCUUAGAGGAAUAUUAGUACUAAUAAUUUGUAACCACGUUGUCAAUGUGUCCAGCAAAUAUGAAAUGCCUGAAAACAAAUACCCAUAGAACAGAAUUUGAUAUGCUAAAUGUUAAGAAUUUAGUUUCACAUUUGCAAUUUUAUAUAACUGGCAGAGGGCUAAUUGUAUGACUUUUGCCUCUUUGAUAUGUGAGUGUUUAUCUUAUAUCUGUUUAGAUACCACAAUUAAAUAGCCACUUUAGAUCAACUAUUAAUUCCUAUGGAAAUAUAUUUUUUUCUGGGAAAAAUGUAUGUGCAUUAAGAACACAGCCAUAAAGUUAUAAUUUUCUAUCAUUGCUCUCAUUGUAGUAAGCUUACCCUGUUGUUUGUGGUCAUACGCAACCUUUGCUUUCAAGGCUACUCCAAGUAACCGUCUCCAAGCCUGCCUUCUCCCUCUGGUGUCAUCACGUAGAGCUUCUUCUCACCUGCCACAUUUAGCGAGACCCAGCUGCAUUUUAGUACGUUCUAGCAUCUAAUCUCACUUACCACAUACAUUGCCUGCAGGGCAAGCACAUCGAUAUGCGGCUUAUCAUUCCUAUAUUCUUUCUAAGUGACUUCCUUCUGGAAGCAGGUAAGGGUGAAGAGAGGCUACCCAGUCUUUCUGACCUUAAACUAUUUAUAUGAGAAUAAAAUACAGCCUUAUUUAGGCGAUCAGCCCCCUGCGAAAAACAGAUACAAUUUUUAAGCCUAGGGAAGUUCAAAAACACAAUGGAGACAAUCUGAAAAUUUUUCUCAAAGCAAGCCUUUUGAAUAUAAAAGGUAAGUCACAGAACUGGAGAAAAAUCUAUCGGGAGUAUUUAUGUAUUAAAAAAAUUGCAUGUCAUUUGCCUACGUUCUUACACUAAUUAUGUCAACUCUGUCGCUACUUCUUUCUUUGUGGGGAAACUCCACAAGAAAGUCACUCAAAGAAAUGGUUUAGAAAUGUUUCUUUGCUUUCACUUUUUUCUUUUCAUUUUGUAGAGGCCAGCUUGCUCACAAGUACUCUCUUUUUAAAAAAAUACGUGAUGCCUAUAAAGAAGGAAGCAGGAUGGCUGGCUUUAGGUCAGAAGUCAUUUGCAUCGAAGAACCCUUUUAUUUCAGGGACUUCUGUACUCAAUUCAAAAGACUUGUUUGAAACAACCUAUGCGGGAAGCGAUAAACGAUGAGGAAACUAAUCUCCAGAAAUUAUUCUCACAGCUAUGAACUGGAGCUGGGAUUAAAAUCCAGGCAGUCAGAGGUCAAUCUGGCUUUCCUAUCAGAUCCACCUGGUCCAACGAUGAACACAAAUAACAGAAAAAGUGAAAAUAGACAUUGACUUUCAGCACAGAGGGAUGAUAUUCAAAAUAUUCACCAGCUGGUCAGCUCAGACACUAAUUCUGACUAAUGAGAAUGGAUGGCAGUGGUGAACAAUUGGCAUAGCUAUACUGGUGUGGACUGUCUGAAUACCAGCUCUAACUUUUAGGGAAAAAAGGAUUAAUUUGCAAAAUAUAUCACCAAACAUCUUCAAAAAGAAAAUUAAUUAAAUUACAAUGGAUCAGUAAAGACCGUAUCAAGUCCAAUAUAUAAGGCAGGUGAGUUCAUGCUCCUGAACAACUUUCAGAUACCCAUCACCAAAAUGGUAUGUUUUAAAGAUGGUAGAACUGUUUGACUGUGUUCUUUCCUCGAACAGUGCAGUUUUUCCCUGCUGGUUCUAUGAACCAGCGGUAACGAGGCUCAAGAUGGAAAGAGUGGUCUUGACAGGGCCCUGCCGUUCUCUAAAUCCAUCUCACUUAUCUUCUCUAGGGAGGAUUAGAAUGGAUUUUUAUGUUAAUUCAUUUCGUUGAUUUGGCAUCUGUUUGGUAUUGUGUAGGUAAUAGGAUAAUGAGUAUAAUGUUACAAUACUGGGUGGCUAAAAAUAUCGUCCACCCAGAAUCAAAUGAUAAAUAAGUUCGUGGACUCCCGUUUGAUGUACUUUGAUAAAUAUGCCCACAUUUGGUGCUCCCACUUUGACUAUCCUGCAACAGCACAUGCAGAUUUUCUUACUAAGGUUUUCUCCUGUUUCUUCUAUAAUUGAGAAGCCAAUUGCUUCUGGCACUUAUAGCCUGAAGUGUAAUAUUAAGUCAUAGGAGGAGAAACAUCUGGGUGCUGGUCCUGGAGCUGCUUCUGAGGGGCCUUGAGCAGCACAGCUGCUGUGUGAAACAGUCCUUCCCCUGGAGAACUGUGGGAGGAGUGAAUGACAUCGAGCACGUGGAGCCAGCGCUUCCUUUCUGGAACAAGAACAAACAAAGUAAAACAUUUGGAAUUCCGAUAUUCUCGUGACCCUAGAAAGUUUUGAAAGUGCCACAGUCCUUAAAAUUACUAUGCUUAUUUGAGAAAAAAAGUUUUAGUUAUUAUUUCCUGGUGGGGAGAAUUCACUGUCCUGAGGGUGUGGCACCGUGUAGCAAUCGUUAAGAUCGUCAUGAUUUGGUUUGCUCCUGUGUGUCUCCUUUCUGUUUUGUCUGCCCAGAUGUGUGUGAGGCCCCGUUUGCCAUGCCUCCCAAACUCUAACCCCAGCAUCAUAAGGAAAUUAUAUUUAGGGCCUUAGAAGAUUGUCUUAGGUUUAUAGCUAAUGAGGUACGUUUUUUGUUUCAUUAAGGAUUUUCCCAUUCGGAUUUUAGAUUCCCUUAUAGUUUUCUUAAUAAAUGAUAUACCUCUGCUUUUACACAUUUUUAUUCCUCUGGCUAGCUUUUUCCUAACUUGUCAUUUAAAGUGAAUACUUGUAGAUGCUUUAAUUUCUGAGAUUUUCACCUUCUGAGCUGCAAAGCACCAACCACCAUGAUAAUCUGCUUCACCUGGAAUCCAACAACAGUAGGAGAUGAUACUUCUUUUGAUAAAACUACUCUGUGCAUUUUAAAGUCCUGAUUUUCCACUUUUUUUUUAAGGUAUGGGUUUUUUUUGGUGAGGAAGAUUGGCCCUGAGCUAACAUCUGUUGCCAGUCUUCCUCUUUUUCUUUUUCCUCCCCAAAGCCCCAAGUAC
Non-coding RNA from Equus caballus (horse), 7158 nucleotides. The record is from RefSeq and is a predicted model, not a curated record. NCBI's taxonomy places the organism in Eukaryota, Metazoa, Chordata, Mammalia, Perissodactyla, Equidae.